This is a long non-coding RNA of Pan troglodytes (chimpanzee), 2529 nucleotides long. RefSeq lists it as uncharacterized. The record is from RefSeq and is a predicted model, not a curated record. Lineage: Eukaryota; Metazoa; Chordata; Mammalia; Primates; Hominidae. The transcript has 4 exons.
GUCUCUCAGAGAUGAAGACUGAAUACAGUGGAGAGAGAACUUCUGGAUUCAAGGACAUUGAAAAUAAUAGCUACUGUCCACUUUCAGGUGAAGUUGAGCAUGGAUGAUAUGAUGUUUGUGAGCCUGAUCAUGUUGUUCCCCUAUUAUAUGCUAUGCCACUGCAGCGAUCAAGCUUGUCUAAAACCAGCCCUGCCUUCAUACCACUCAAGGAGAAGACAAAUAUAGUUGGUUAUUGGAAGAACCAACAGGAUUUUACAGGAUAAGUAGACAUUUCAUAGAGCUCUUGAAACCUGAAAAUGAUUGACAUUGCUGUGUGAAAGGAAAUAUCUUGGGCUCCCAAAAUCACUAAGUUAAAGGGAAAAUUCAAGCUGGAAACUGCUUAGGGUAAACCUGCCUCCCAUUCUAUUAAAAGUCAUCCCUCUGCUCACUGAGAUAAAUGCAUGUCUGAUUGCCUCCUUUGAAAGGCUAAUCAGAAACUCAGAAGAAUGCAACCAUUUGUCUCUCACCAACCUGUGACCUGGACCCUCCCCGCUUUGAGUUGUCCCACUUUUGUUUUGAGUUGUCCCGCCUUUCCAGACUGAACCAAUGUUAUAUAUGUUGAUUGAUGUCUCAUGUCUCCCUAAAAUGUAUAAAACCAAGCUGUGCUCUGACUACUUUGAGCACAUGUUGUCAGGACCUCCUGAGGCUGUGUCACAGGCAUGCAUCCUCAACUUUGGCAAAAUAAACUAAAUUAACUGAGACCUGUCUCAAAUUUUGGGCGUUCACAUUUGGUAACCACGGAGGGAUUCUGAGUGGAGAUGCCCCUGACUUCUGACAAAUCUCCUAUCGGUUCUUGGUACCAGCAUGAGCUAACUUUAUGGCUCAAACCAAUAGGACAAUUUGCUGAGGUCAGGGAGCAACCCUUCCAGAGAAUCCCUGAUCUCCAAAAAUUUGGUCAAGAUCUAAAGUUUAUUUUGCUGUAUACUCCUUUUUUUUUUUUUUCUUGCUUCCAACAAGGAAGGCAAGAUUUCCUGUUUCCAAGACAAUGGAAAGCAGGUAACUCCUUUAUGGAGUUUGAGCUCGCUCCCAGCUGGGAAGACGCGUUCGAGUAUUUUUCCUGCUUCUAGGAUGGUAGAAAGCAGUCUUCAGCCUGAGAUCCAUCUCUGGUUCUGGAGGCUUGGAAGUCCAAGAUCAAGAGGUGAACAGAUUUGGUGUCUGGUGGGGACCUGCUUCCUGAUUCAUAGAUGGCACCAUCCAGCUGUGCCCUCACAUGGUGGAAGGAAUGAGGCUGCUCUCUGGAAUCUCUUUUAUAAGGCUUGUAAGUGAAAGGGACUAGCCUUGUUUCAGAUGAGACGUUGCACUUGGACUCUUGAGUUAAUGCUGGAAUGAAUUGAGACUUUGGGAGACUGUUGGGAAGGCAAGAUUGUGUUUUGAAAUGUGAGGACAUGAGAUUUGGGAAAGGACAGGGGCAGAAUGAUAUGGUUUGGCUGUGUCUCCACCAAAAUCUCAACUUGGAUUGUAAUCUUCAUAAUCCCUAUGUGUCAUGGGAGGGACCUGGUGGGAGGUAAUUGAAUCAUGGAGCUGGUUUCACCCAUGCUGUUCUCAUGAUAGUGAGUGAGUUCUCACGAGAUCUGAUAGUUUUAUAAGCAUCUGGCAUUUUCCCUGCUGACACACACUCUCUCUCAUGCUGCCUUGUGAAGAGCUGCCUUCCACCAUGAUUGUAAGUUUCCUGAGACCUCCCCAGCCAUGUGGAACUUUGAGUCAAUUAAACCUCUUUUCUUUAUAAUUUACCCAGUCUCAGGUAUUUCCUUAUGUAGCAGGACAAGCCACAGACAAAACUCCUCAGACACCGAGUUAAAGAAGGAAGGGGUUUAUUCAGCCAGGGGCAUCAGCAAGACUCUUAGCUCAAGAGCUGAGCCCCCAAGUGAGCAAUUCCUGUCCUUUUUAAGGGCUCACAACUCUAAGGGGGUGCGCACGAGAGGGUCGUGAUCGAUUGAGCAAGCAGGGGGUACGUGACUGGGGGCUGCAGGCACUGGUAAUUAGAUCAGAACUAAACAGGAUAGGGAUUUUCACAGUGCUUUUCUAUACAAUGUCUGUAAUCUAUAGAUAACAUAACUGAUUAGAUCAGGGGUCGAUCUUCAACUACCAGGCCUAGGGUGUGGCGCCGGGCUGUCUGCUUGUGGAUUUCAUUUCUGCCUUUUAGUUUUUACUUUUUCUUUCUUUGGAGGCAGAAAUUGGGCAUAAGGCAAUAUGAGGGGUAGUCUCCUUUAUUCACAGCAAUGUGAGAAGGGACUAAUACAGUGUCCAUCAACAGAUGAAUGGAUAAGCAAAUUUGGUACAUAUGUGCAAUGGCUUACUAUUCCACCAUAAAAAAGAAUGAAAUUCUUUCAUUUGCAACAAUGUGGGUGGAACUGGAGGUCAUUAUAUUAAGUGAAAUUAGCCAGGCAAAGAAAUAGGCAAAGAAAGACAAACUUUGCAUGUUCUCACUUAUUUGUGGGAGCUAGAAUUUAAAACAAUUGAAGUCAUGGAGAAAGAGCAGAGGGAUGGUUA